Molecule: ribosomal RNA, 607 nt
Filed under: uncultured Actinomycetes bacterium
Lineage: Bacteria; Bacillati; Actinomycetota; Actinomycetes
Description: uncultured actinobacterium partial 16S ribosomal RNA
Rfam family: Bacterial small subunit ribosomal RNA
Source: RNAcentral
GACGUCGCAUGCUUCCGGCCGCCAUGGCGGCCGCGGGAAUUCGAUUAGAGUUUGAUCAUGGCUCAGAUUGAACGCUGGCGGCAUGCUUUACACAUGCAAGUCGAGCGGCAGCGCGGGGGCAACCCUGGCGGCGAGCGGCGAACGGGUGAGUAACACAUCGGAACGUGUCCCGUAGUGGGGGAUAACCCGGCGAAAGCCGGGCUAAUACCGCAUAUGCUCUACGGAGGAAAGUGGGGGACCUGCAAGGGCCUUACGCUAUGGGAGCGGCCGAUGUCCGAUUAGCUAGUUGGUGGGGUAAAGGCCUACCAAGGCGACGAUCGGUAGCUGGUCUGAGAGGAUGAUCAGCCACACUGGGACUGAGACACGGCCCAGACUCCUACGGGAGGCAGCAGUGGGGAAUCUUGCGCAAUGGGCGAAAGCCUGACGCAGCAACGCCGCGUGCGGGACGAAGGCCUUCGGGUCGUAAACCGCUUUCAGCAGGGACGAAAAUGACGGUACCUGCAGAAGAAGCCCCGGCCAACUACGUGCCAGCAGCCGCGGUAAUACGAAUCACUAGUGAAUUCGCGGCCGCCUGCAGGUCGACCAUAUGGGAGAGCUCCCAACGCGU